This 483-nucleotide ribosomal RNA is filed under the name uncultured bacterium. RNAcentral's name for it is "partial 16S ribosomal RNA". It matches the Rfam family "Bacterial small subunit ribosomal RNA", at positions 30 to 507 of the family's 1533-position model. The record is from RNAcentral.
UUGCACGCUGGCGGCAGGCCUAACCCAUGCAAGUCGAGCGGAUGAAGGGAGCUUGCUCCUGGAUUCAGCGGCGGACGGGUGAGUAAUGCCUAGGAAUCUGCCUGGUAGUGGGGGAUAACGUCCGGAAACGGGCGCUAAUACCGCAUACGUCCUGAGGGAGAAAGUGGGGGAUCUACGGACCUCACGCUAUCAGAUGAGCCUAGGUCGGAUUAGCUAGUUGGUGGGGUAAAGGCCUACCAAGGCGACGAUCCGUAACUGGUCUGAGAGGAUGAUCAGUCACACUGGAACUGAGACACGGUCCAGACUCCUACGGGAGGCAGCAGUGGGGAAUAUUGGACAAUGGGCGAAAGCCUGAUCCAGCCAUGCCGCGUGUGUGAAGAAGGUCUUCGGAUUGUAAAGCACUUUAAGUUGGGAGGAAGGGCAGUAAGUUAAUACCUUGCUGUUUUGACGUUACCAACAGAAUAAGCACCGGCUAACUUCGUG